CAAAUGAAGACUUAGCCCUAGACCAGCCUGAUUGGUUGCAGGAGGGGACUAAUCAGAGGUAUUUUCAAUUUUUCAUCUGCCACUCAGAAAAAAGGGAGAGGGGUUGCAAAGAGAGUAGCCUCUGGUCCUUUGGUUAUUUGGGCAUGGAAAGUUGGGGUUUUCCUUUUGAUUUAGUUCUAGGAAGUCAGCGUGAAUCAGCCUUAGGUUCCCCGCCUCCAGACCCUCUUCUCCUGCCUCAGCCGUGGUUUAAACCAAACAUGCAGCGUAUUGUCUGCCUACCUCAAGGAAGGCCGUCCAAAGGCUCUCUGGGCGGCUAGGACAUCUCUGUGUUUGGACUUCCCGGUCUCUUUCUUCCCUUCUCCCUCACCAGCCAACCCUGGUGCUUACUUUCCAUCCUUAUGACAAACUCCUGGCACGAUAGGGUGGCCAGUGCUCUAGCGGUUACUCCCAACCUUGCAGGCAGUCAGACGCCGAAGAGCUGGAGGACAAAGGAAACACCCGCUGCCCCUACUCCUCUCAUCCUUCUAGGCAGCUCUCCCGGCGUCACCUGGACAUUGCUUUCAUCAGAGGCUGCUUUGAGGAAAGGAGGGGGGUCGCUCUUAGCUGUUGGCAGCUGGAUCCGUCGGUUCUGGUGCUCUGUGGCCAGAACCUUUGAACCUUCUCAUAGGACUUGCAGUAAAACUUGCUUACGAAGAACUGCACAUGAGCCAUCAAACCCAGAAACCCGCUGGGUGGACACUGGUGUGACCUGAAAACAGAAGGGCCACGCAGCACGGGCUCCACCUGAAACCGGCACCCCCUGUGCUGAAAGAAGAAUCGGACAAAGGCAAGAGCUGCAGGUGCACGCGGGACGCCCCUGCCCGUGACACGGCCACAGAAAUCUCCAGAACACAUCCACAGCAUCUCACACGAGGGGUGCGGCCUUCCCUCGGCCCCGUCAGGACGCAUUUAGGCAAGCAGGCAGGUCAUUUGUAGAAUGGACGGCCGCCAAUGGCGCAGAGGAAGAGCCUCGAGACAUGAUGAUUUGGUUUUAGAUGUAGGGGAGUUGCUCCUGUACUGUUUGUUUGGACUCAAUUAAUAGUAAAUGAUGCAAAGUUGUUUCACGUCCCCAGCCUCGCCUUCUACUUUUCCUUCUUCUGCUCUGGAAUGCCGUCAAUGCCGGCCCUGUGUGCAGCUUGCCUCUUUCUGUGCUGGUCCUGGGAGGUCUUCCCAGCACGCACCCCCACCCAACUCCCCCUUGGGGUCCCUUCCCAUGAGGGUCACCUGGGACGGCAUGUUUCUGGGGCUAGGUGGCGGCUGGAGCAGGGCAGGGAGCCAAGCUGGGGGGUCAGAUGGGGCAGGGCCUGGAGGCUGGGCAUGGGUGGGCGUGGUCCCAAAGGUGACGGGAAGCCCUAUGGGUGCUUCCAGGGGUCAUCCGGCCCCAUGUGUGGAACAGACGGCAGGAACCAGGACUGCGGCAGG
Molecule: long non-coding RNA, 1461 nt
Filed under: Homo sapiens (human)
Lineage: Eukaryota; Metazoa; Chordata; Mammalia; Primates; Hominidae
Description: HSALNT0083274
Source: RNAcentral